AGGGGAGGCAAUAAUCAGCCUGACCGUUUUGGCUCCCCCAUUUCCCAGUGGGGCUUCCCUGUGUACCUGCAAGAGGGCAAGGUAAGCCUAGCAGUUGAGGUGGGACAGGGUGGUGAGAGUAAUCCUGGCCUUGGACUUGACACAGUUGAAAGUGACGUUUCCAUCUCUCAAACUCCCGGAGCCUUGUUCUGCACCUGCACGGGGACUCUUCCCGGCAGCACCCCCACUGGGGAUGCCUCAGCCUGGCCUUUCAGCCUGACACGUGCUUCCUACUGGGUAUGCAGUUGUACCACGGCGCAGCUCAGCCUCAGGUGAGGUGAUGCGGGC
Molecule: long non-coding RNA, 327 nt
Filed under: Fukomys damarensis (Damara mole-rat)
Lineage: Eukaryota; Metazoa; Chordata; Mammalia; Rodentia; Bathyergidae
Description: lncRNA (ENSFDAG00000029185.1)
Source: RNAcentral